This 454-nucleotide ribosomal RNA is filed under the name uncultured bacterium. Its description in RNAcentral is "partial 16S ribosomal RNA". It matches the Rfam family "Bacterial small subunit ribosomal RNA", at positions 28 to 507 of the family's 1533-position model. The record is from RNAcentral.
GAUGAACGCUGGCAGAAUGCUUAACACAUGCAAGUCAACUUGAACUUCGGUUUUGGUGGCGGACGGGUGAGUAACGCGUAAAGAACUUGCCUCACAGAUAGGGACAACAUUCGGAAACGAAUGCUAAUAACUGCUAUUAUGAUUAUAUGGCAUCGUAUAAUUAUGAAAGCUAUAUGCGCUGUGAGAGAGCUUUGCGUCCCAUUAGCUAGUUGAAGAGGUAACGGCUCACCAAGGCGAGGAUGGGUAGCCGGCCUGAGAGGGUGAUCGGCCACAAGGGGACUGAGACACGGCCCUCACACUUACGGGAGGCAGAAGUGGGGAAUAUUGGACAAUGGACCAAGAGUCUGAUCGAGCAAUUGUGUGUGGAAGAUGAAGGUUUUCGGAAUGUAAAGUGCUUUCAGUUGGGAAGAAAACAAUGACGGUACCAACAGAAGAAGUGACGGCUAAAUACGUG